UCACUCACAAGUUUGAAUAGUCUCUUUUUUCUCAUCACCUACACAUAACACACACACACACUUUUGAGGUCUUCAGGGUUGUAGCUUGGCUUGGGUUAGGGUAUGGAUUCACAAAAAAGGAAAACAAGGGGAUUUUGGCUCAGAGUCGAUGUUAUAUCCUGUGUUGGUUUCUUUUAGUUCCUCGAUUUUCUUUUCUUAUUUCUUGAAUUUUUACCGACUACCCUUUUCCGUGCUUCUCUCUUCUGAAUCAUCGCGUAUUUGAUUUUUAU
This 269-nucleotide long non-coding RNA is filed under the name Lathyrus oleraceus (garden pea). RNAcentral describes it as "Pisum sativum (pea) long non-coding RNA (PSAT_LNC014660)". The record is from RNAcentral. Lineage: Eukaryota; Viridiplantae; Streptophyta; Magnoliopsida; Fabales; Fabaceae.